Molecule: non-coding RNA, 26 nt
Filed under: Mus musculus (house mouse)
Lineage: Eukaryota; Metazoa; Chordata; Mammalia; Rodentia; Muridae
Source: RNAcentral
UGACUGACGCUUACUUCAAGAAGAAG